Molecule: ribosomal RNA, 305 nt
Filed under: uncultured bacterium
Lineage: Bacteria
Description: bacterial SSU rRNA
Rfam family: Bacterial small subunit ribosomal RNA
Source: RNAcentral
UUACCUACGGGGGGCAGCAGUGAGGAAUAUUGGUCAAUGGGCGGAAGCCUGAACCAGCCAAGUCGCGUGAGGGAAGAAGGCCCUGCGGGUCGCAGACCUCUUUGGACGGGGAGCAAGGCCGCCGACGUGUCGGCGGAAGGAGAGUACCCGUAGAACAAGCAUCGGCUAACUCCGUGCCAGCAGCCGCGGUAAAACGUAGGGGGCGAGCGUUGUCCGGAAUGACUGGGCGUAAAGGGUGCGUAGGCGGCAUAAUAAGUUAGAAGUGAAAUACCCAGAGCUUAACUCGGGUGCUGCUUCUAAGACUG